This 76-nucleotide transfer RNA is filed under the name Klebsiella pneumoniae. Its description in RNAcentral is "tRNA-Gly". It matches the Rfam family "tRNA". From Rfam's summary of the family: Transfer RNA (tRNA) molecules are approximately 80 nucleotides in length. Their secondary structure includes four short double-helical elements and three loops (D, anti-codon, and T loops). Further hydrogen bonds mediate the characteristic L-shaped molecular structure. tRNAs have two regions of fundamental functional importance: the anti-codon, which is responsible for specific mRNA codon recognition, and the 3' end, to which the tRNAs corresponding amino acid is attached (by aminoacyl-tRNA synthetases). tRNAs cope with the degeneracy of the genetic code in two manners: having more than one tRNA (with a specific anti-codon) for a particular amino acid; and 'wobble' base-pairing, i.e. permitting non-standard base-pairing at the 3rd anti-codon position. RNAcentral also lists the same sequence under 1 other name. The record is from RNAcentral. Lineage: Bacteria; Pseudomonadati; Pseudomonadota; Gammaproteobacteria; Enterobacterales; Enterobacteriaceae.
GCGGGAAUAGCUCAGUUGGUAGAGCACGACCUUGCCAAGGUCGGGGUCGCGAGUUCGUGUCUCGUUUCCCGCUCCA